AUCGAGCGCAACCCUUGUCCUUAGUUGCACUAUCAUUUAGUUGGGAACCUUCUAGGACGUACAACCGGAGGAAGGUGGGGAUGACGUCAAGUCAUCAUGGCCCUUACGGGUAGGGCUACACACGUGCUACAAUGGCCGGUACAAAGGGUCGCGAACCCGCGAGGGGGAGCCAAUCCGACAAAACCGAUCGUAUUGGAGUCUGCAACUCGACUCCAUGAAGUCGGAAUCGCUAGUAAUUCGCANNUCAGCUGCUGCGGUAA
Molecule: ribosomal RNA, 260 nt
Filed under: uncultured bacterium
Lineage: Bacteria
Description: partial 16S ribosomal RNA
Rfam family: Bacterial small subunit ribosomal RNA
Source: RNAcentral